AGAACGAACGCUGGCGGCAGGCCUAACACAUGCAAGUCGAACGCCCGUAGCAAUACGGGAGUGGCAGACGGGUGAGUAACGCGUGGGAACGUACCCUUCGGUUCGGAAUAACCCGGGGAAACUCGGGCUAAUACCGGAUACGUCCGUAAGGAGAAAGAUUUAUCGCCGAAGGAUCGGCCCGCGUCGGAUUAGCUAGUUGGUGGGGUAAUGGCCCACCAAGGCGACGAUCCGUAGCUGGUCUGAGAGGAUGAUCAGCCACACUGGGACUGAGACACGGCCCAGACUCCUACGGGAGGCAGCAGUGGGGAAUCUUGCGCAAUGGGCGAAAGCCUGACGCAGCACGCCGCGUGGGGGAUGAAGGCUUCGGGUUGUAAACCCCGUUUCAGCAGGGACGAAGCGAAAGUGACGGUACCUGCAGAAGAAGCGCCGGCUAACUACGUGCCAGCAGCCGC
This 452-nucleotide ribosomal RNA is filed under the name uncultured bacterium. Its description in RNAcentral is "SSU rRNA". It matches the Rfam family "Bacterial small subunit ribosomal RNA", at positions 26 to 518 of the family's 1533-position model. The record is from RNAcentral.